Molecule: microRNA precursor, 84 nt
Filed under: Bombyx mori (domestic silkworm)
Lineage: Eukaryota; Metazoa; Arthropoda; Insecta; Lepidoptera; Bombycidae
Description: mir-2807 microRNA precursor family
Rfam family: mir-2807 microRNA precursor family
Source: Rfam by way of RNAcentral
ACCCGUAAAAUUUGUAUGGAGUUCGAACGUUUGCCUAUGUUUGCCGCUAGGGGCGCUGUUCCAACUCCAUACAAAUAUAAGUUA